AACACUUUUUUCCCCCCCUUGUUGACUAUGUCCUUAUUUGAAGAACCAUCCAACAUUAAUCCAGACUCUUGUUCUUGAGAAGGGUUUCUGGGAGAAAAUGACGGUGUCCAAUUCAAAUUAACUGAGGAUAUUACUCACCUCAUUAAGGUUACAAGUUUUAAAGGAGAUACCACAUAAGCAAAAAUAAACAAAUAGGACCUAACAAAUUAAUAAGCUUUUGCACAACAAAGGAAACUAUAAACAAAUGGAAAAAAAAGACAACCUAUGGAAUGGGAGAAAAUACCUGCAAGUGAUGCAAUCAGCAAGGGGUUAAUAUCCAAAACAUACAAACAACUCAUACAACUGAAUUAUUGAAAAAACAAGCAACCCAAUCAAAAAAAUGAGCAGAAGACCUCGACAGACAUUUCUCCAAAGAAGGCAUACAGAUGAUUAACAGGCACAUGAAAAGAUACUUAACAACCCUAAUCAUUAGAGAAAUGUAAAGCAAACCACAAUGAGGUACCACCUCACAUAGAUCAGAAUGGCUAUCAUCAGAAAGUCUACAAAUAAUAAAUGCUGGAGAGUGAAGAUAAAAGGGACCCCUCCUACACUGCUGGGAAUGUAAACUGGUGCAGCAACUAUGGAAAACAGUAUGGAGAUUCCUUAAAAAACUAAAAAUAGAGCUAUCAUAGAAUCCAGCAAUCCCAUUCCUGGGCAUAUAUCUGGAAAAGACAAAAACUCUAAUUUGAAAAGAUACAUGCACUCCAACAUUCAUAUGGAAUAUUACUUGGUCAUAAAAAUAUUACCAUUUCAGCAAUACAGAUGAACCUAGAGAUUUUUAUACUUAGUAAGUCAAAGACAAACGUUUUAUGAUAUCACUUGUGUGUGGUAUCUGAAAAAUAACCCAAACAAGUUUAUAUUCAAACUGAAACAGACUUACAGACGUAGAAAAUAAACUAGUGUUUAUCAAAGGGGAAGGUGGAGGGAUAAACUAGGAGUAUGGAAUUAACAAAUACAAACUCUGACACAUAAAAUAGAUAAGCAACAAGGAUUUACUAAUUGCACAGGAAACUAUAUUCAGUAUCUUGUAAUAACCUAUAAUGGAAAAUAAUCUGAAAAAAAAUUAACAAUCACUUGGCAGUAGGCCUGAAACUGACAAAAUAUUGUGAAUCAACUAUACUUCAAAUCAAAAUUAGGUGAACCCGAAUAUAACUUCAUUUGGUUGGACUGAAAUACAUGUGUUUUUAAUAUCUUGAAAGAAUGCUGUAAUUAUGUAGUAUACUUCACAAUAAGGCUUUCACUAGGAUUAGCAAGUUUGAGAUAUGCUCUUUCUUCUCAAUUUCUGUAUUCUCCAAAAGAACCCAAUACUACUGAACCUAUAAGGGCUGUAUGAUGCCUAAAUAUGCCACAUCAUUUGCUUUAUUUAGUCAUUUAUUAUUUUAAUUUAAGCCAAUUUCCAUGAAUAGUCUCUUUAGAUUUUCCUCUCUCUUGGCAUUGUUGCUUAAAUAGUCAUUUGGACAGUAAAACAUUUAACUGUUUAGACAUAUUAAGGUUUGGUGUCAUUUUGCUUAUGGUAUAUUAAAAUUUAUGCAUUGAGUUUUUCCUUUUCUUUUGUUUGGCAGUUAUCAGGUGUAAAACAGAAUAUUAAUAUUAAAAGAAGUGACUUUAUAUCCUCCAAUAUAAAACAUUUAAAAAAAAAGAUUCAUCUAGAAGAGAGCACUAUUAUGUAACUAAGUACAUGAUACUACAAAGUACAAGUUCACAAACUGAAAAGCCAGUAUAAAUGUUUCACGUAAGGAACUGCUAAAAUGAGAACAGUUAUUUAAGCUUUCAGGUACAAUGAAGAAAAAGUUCACAUACAAACAAUUUAGUGCAAUGCUACAGUCAAUCUUAAAUGGGAAGAGUUUUCUGUUCACAAAUGUUCAGUUUUGUGAAUUCAUGAACUUUAGCCUCCAAAUUAUUCAGACCCACCAUUUUGGUGAAAGAUCAGAAAAUGUCUUUUUCUGAAACUAAACUGGCUGACACAAACGUAUCCCAACUGAAGAAAUCCUAUAGCUAAAUGAAGAUUGUAAAACAAUAAACUGGAAUGUAAUCCAUGAUGGUUUACUUGGUAGUCAUACUGUGGGGUGAAGAGAAGACAUUUGGGAAAACUUUAAUCAAGGUAUUGUUGCAAAUUAGAGUGUGUAAAGAGAAGCUGAUGCAGAGCCUCCAAGGAGUCUGAAGGUCUUAAAUGGAGGUCAUAAAUAGGUUUUUUCCCCUUUUAAAUUCAAGAACUAUAUUCAAUUAUUUCAUAGGUCAGACCCAAUCAGAGAAUACCUGUCCUUAUUCUCUUUAGGAAUAUUUCUGAGGGAAGUAAAUCUCAUAUAUUCUACCCCAUGUCCUGUUUGCAGUGAUCCUAGUUUUAACUGAUGUCAAAACACUUGAUCAAUUUAGUUAAGAAUACUAAGUGAUAGGGAAGAAAAAGAGGUGAAAGGUGAGGGAUUCCAUGUACAAACAGUACUACUUAAAUAAGGAGGUAAAAAGUCCUCUUAAAAUGGUAAGAAAUUAAAGACAUGGGUUAAUUUAACUUUUCGGGCCAAUGGUCACUUGAAUAUUACAUGAAUUACAAAUGGUGAUGGAAUCAUAAUUUUAUAUAAUAGUAUAGGACAAUAUGAUUUCCUAUGGUCUUAUCUCUUUCAGUGUUCCCAAAGAGGCCACUGUGCAGGGAACUGAAAAGCAACUGAUCUUUCUCAAAUCUUCUUUCAGGAGCAUAAGUUUGACAUUUUGUUUUGCUUUGCUUUUUGAGGAUCAACUCCCUCACUUGUCCAGACUGCAUUCCAUGUCACUCGCAAUUCCUAGGGACAAGAAAAUUAGGAACUGUUGAGUUCUGUCUUCUAAACAGAGUAUUCCGUUUUGCGUGAAAUGCUGAUAUAAAGGCGGGAUUAGCUUGGGCAGAGCAGGUCAAACGCCUACUGAGUUGCCCUUGAAUACAUGGCCAUUUUCUACCUGCUCUCUUGCAGCCAUGAGAGUUGAUGGGUCAAGGGCAAGUAUUCAAGAUGUUAGCACGUGCUGAACAUAUGGAAUCACUGAAUUUUUGCAACAUUUAAAAAAAAAAAAAACCAGGAAAAGUUGUGCGGUCAUAAUCCAGGUGGUGACCUUUUUUGGGGGGUUAGUUUUAACAUUUCUACCACCUUGAGAAGUUAUUUGAAGUAAGUGGGCUUGGAGAGGCCGGGACUCUGGGGAACGGAAAUUUAAAGAGACUUUGUAGUUGUACUGAUGGAGACAGACAACUCUGCUGGCUUCAGGGAUUAUUAAUUGUGGAAUGUAAUAAUAUGUAAUAAUUGUUGAAUGUAGUAAGAGGGGAACCAAAUCAGUUCCCUUUCAGGAACUCAUACACAAUUUUGCAAGCGAAAGGCCCACCCUCAGCAAGGCGUGCUAACGCUUCAGCAACUAGGAGUCUGACCUUAGCUCACGCUCGGAGAUGACUCCGCACUUAAAACUUUUGCCGGAAGCCGGGCCACGUGACCCGCCCUUUUCCACAGCCAUGCCUAGCGGGGCAGCCGCCAGAGCUCCUACAUUUCCUAGCCCCUCCAGCGUGGGACAGCUCAGAAUCUCCCGACAGGAGGCGGAAUCAGCUAGGUUUCGACUCGAGCGUCGCCACAACUCACGCUUUUCUCCAACAGAGCUUUGCAAGUUCUUCAUCCCAAAACAGCAGCCGGAGACUUCCGCCUGGUUGCCGACCACGUGAUCACG
This 3711-nucleotide long non-coding RNA is filed under the name Sus scrofa (pig). RNAcentral describes it as "lncRNA (ENSSSCG00025076699.1)". Lineage: Eukaryota; Metazoa; Chordata; Mammalia; Artiodactyla; Suidae. The record is from RNAcentral.